RNAcentral lists this ribosomal RNA (253 nucleotides) under uncultured bacterium. Its description in RNAcentral is "partial 16S ribosomal RNA". It matches the Rfam family "Bacterial small subunit ribosomal RNA", at positions 524 to 776 of the family's 1533-position model. The record is from RNAcentral.
UACGGGGGGGGCAAGCGUUGUUCGGAAUUACUGGGCGUAAAGGGCUCGUAGGCGGCCAACUAAGUCGGACGUGAAAUCCCCAGGCUCAACCUGGGAACUGCAUCCGAUACUGGAUGGCUUGAAUUCGGGAGAGGGAUGCAGAAUUCCAGGUGUAGCGGUGAAAUGCGUAGAUAUCCGGAAGAACACCAAAGGCGAAGGCAGUGUCCUGGCUGGUACCUGACGCUCAGGUGCGAAAGCUAGGGGAGCGAACGGG